Molecule: ribosomal RNA, 1305 nt
Filed under: Enterococcus faecium
Lineage: Bacteria; Bacillati; Bacillota; Bacilli; Lactobacillales; Enterococcaceae
Description: 16S ribosomal RNA
Rfam family: Bacterial small subunit ribosomal RNA
Source: RNAcentral
AGAGUUUGAUCCUGGCUCAGGACGAACGCUGGCGGCGUGCCUAAUACAUGCAAGUCGAACGCUUCUUUUUCCACCGGAGCUUGCUCCACCGGAAAAAGAGGAGUGGCGAACGGGUGAGUAACACGUGGGUAACCUGCCCAUCAGAAGGGGAUAACACUUGGAAACAGGUGCUAAUACCGUAUAACAAUCNNNNNNNNNNNNNNNNNNNNNNNNNNNNNNNNNNNNNNNNNNNNNNNNGGUUUUGAUUUGAAAGGCGCUUUCGGGUGUCGCUGAUGGAUGGACCCGCGGUGCAUUAGCUAGUUGGUGAGGUAACGGCUCACCAAGGCCACGAUGCAUAGCCGACCUGAGAGGGUGAUCGGCCACAUUGGGACUGAGACACGGCCCAAACUCCUACGGGAGGCAGCAGUAGGGAAUCUUCGGCAAUGGACGAAAGUCUGACCGAGCAACGCCGCGUGAGUGAAGAAGGUUUUCGGAUCGUAAAACUCUGUUGUUAGAGAAGAACAAGGAUGAGAGUAACUGUUCAUCCCUUGACGGUAUCUAACCAGAAAGCCACGGCUAACUACGUGCCAGCAGCCGCGGUAAUACGUAGGUGGCAAGCGUUGUCCGGAUUUAUUGGGCGUAAAGCGAGCGCAGGCGGUUUCUUAAGUCUGAUGUGAAAGCCCCCGGCUCAACCGGGGAGGGUCAUUGGAAACUGGGAGACUUGAGUGCAGAAGAGGAGAGUGGAAUUCCAUGUGUAGCGGUGAAAUGCGUAGAUAUAUGGAGGAACACCAGUGGCGAAGGCGGCUCUCUGGUCUGUAACUGACGCUGAGGCUCGAAAGCGUGGGGAGCAAACAGGAUUAGAUACCCUGGUAGUCCACGCCGUAAACGAUGAGUGCUAAGUGUUGGAGGGUUUCCGCCCUUCAGUGCUGCAGCUAACGCAUUAAGCACUCCGCCUGGGGAGUACGACCGCAAGGUUGAAACUCAAAGGAAUUGACGGGGGCCCGCACAAGCGGUGGAGCAUGUGGUUUAAUUCGAAGCAACGCGAAGAACCUUACCAGGUCUUGACAUCCUUUGACCACUCUAGAGAUAGAGCUUCCCCUUCGGGGGCAAAGUGACAGGUGGUGCAUGGUUGUCGUCAGCUCGUGUCGUGAGAUGUUGGGUUAAGUCCCGCAACGAGCGCAACCCUUAUUGUUAGUUGCCAUCAUUCAGUUGGGCACUCUAGCAAGACUGCCGGUGACAAACCGGAGGAAGGUGGGGAUGACGUCAAAUCAUCAUGCCCCUUAUGACCUGGGCUACACACGUGCUACAAUGGGAAGUACAACGAGU